RNAcentral lists this ribosomal RNA (230 nucleotides) under uncultured bacterium. RNAcentral's name for it is "partial 16S ribosomal RNA". It matches the Rfam family "Bacterial small subunit ribosomal RNA", at positions 1275 to 1500 of the family's 1533-position model. The record is from RNAcentral.
CUUAAAGCUGUUCUCAGUUCGGACUGCAGUCUGCAACUCGACUGCACGAAGCUGGAAUCGCUAGUAAUCGCGGAUCAGCACGCCGCGGUGAAUACGUUCCCGGGCCUUGUACACACCGCCCGUCACACCAUGGAAGUCUGCAAUGCCCGAAGCCGGUGGCCUAACCACUUAUGUGGAAGGAGCCGUCUAAGGCAGGGCAGAUGACUGGGGUGAAGUCGUAACAAGGUAAC